UGCGAACGGGUGAGUAACGCGUAUGUAACCUGCCUUGUAGCGGGGGAUAACUAUUGGAAACGAUAGCUAAUACCGCAUAACAAUGGAUGACCCAUGUCAUUUAUUUGAAAGGGGCAAAUGCUCCACUACAAGAUGGACCUGCGUUGUAUUAGCUAGUAGGUGAGGUAACGGCUCACCUAGGCGACGAUACAUAGCCGACCUGAGAGGGUGAUCGGCCACACUGGGACUGAGACACGGCCCAGACUCCUACGGGAGGCAGCAGUAGGGAAUCUUCGGCAAUGGGGGCAACCCUGACCGAGCAACGCCGCGUGAGUGAAGAAGGUUUUCGGAUCGUAAAGCUCUGUUGUAAGUCAAGAACGAGUGUGAGAGUGGAAAGUUCACACUGUGACGGUAGCUUACCAGAAAGGGACGGCUAACUACGUGCCAGCAGCCGCGGUAAUACGUAGGUCCCGAGCGUUGUCCGGAUUUAUUGGGCGUAAAGCGAGCGCAGGCGGUUUGAUAAGUCUGAAGUUAAAGGCUGUGGCUCAACCAUAGUUCGCUUUGGAAACUGUCAAACUUGAGUGCAGAAGGGGAGAGUGGAAUUCCAUGUGUAGCGGUGAAAUGCGUAGAUAUAUGGAGGA
RNAcentral lists this ribosomal RNA (620 nucleotides) under uncultured Bacilli bacterium. RNAcentral's name for it is "bacterial SSU rRNA". It matches the Rfam family "Bacterial small subunit ribosomal RNA", at positions 97 to 705 of the family's 1533-position model. The record is from RNAcentral. Lineage: Bacteria; Bacillati; Bacillota; Bacilli.